AGAAAUCAAUUUAACAAUUCUUGUUGACAGGUCUCUCUUAGAAGUUAAUUUACUGAAUCAAUCAAGGAUGCAUGAUCUAGUAAAAGACAUGAGAAGAGAGAUAGUUUGUCAAAUGUGUCCCCAACAUCCUGGAAAACGCAGCAGAAUUUGGCUUCAUGAGGAAGCAUUGAAAGUGCUCAAAAUCAACAUGGGAACAUAAAAAGUGGAGGGUCUUGUGCUAGAUGUGCAAACUUCGAAAGCUGAACCUUUAAGAACAGAAUCAUUU
This is a long non-coding RNA of Populus euphratica (Euphrates poplar), 265 nucleotides long. RefSeq lists it as uncharacterized. NCBI's taxonomy places the organism in Eukaryota, Viridiplantae, Streptophyta, Magnoliopsida, Malpighiales, Salicaceae. The record is from RefSeq and is a predicted model, not a curated record. The transcript has 2 exons.